RNAcentral lists this ribosomal RNA (460 nucleotides) under uncultured bacterium. Its description in RNAcentral is "partial 16S ribosomal RNA". It matches the Rfam family "Bacterial small subunit ribosomal RNA", at positions 338 to 795 of the family's 1533-position model. The record is from RNAcentral.
CCUACGGGCGGCAGCAGUGAGGAAUAUUGGUCAAUGGACGAGAGUCUGAACCAGCCAAGUAGCGUGAAGGAUGACUGCCCUAUGGGUUGUAAACUUCUUUUAUAUGGGAAUAAAAUGUUCCACGUGUGGGAUUUUGUAUGUACCAUAUGAAUAAGGAUCGGCUAACUCCGUGCCAGCAGCCGCGGUAAUACGGAGGAUCCGAGCGUUAUCCGGAUUUAUUGGGUUUAACGGGAGCGUAGGUGGAUGGUUAAGUCAGUUGUGAAAGUUUGCGGCUCAACCGUAAAAUUGCAGUUGAAACUGGCAGUCUUGAGUACAGUAGAGGUGGGCGGAAUUCGUGGUGUAGCGGUGAAAUGCGUAGAUAUCACGAAGAACUCCGAUUGCGAAGGCAGUUCACUGGACUGCAACUGACACUGAGGCUCGAAAGUGUGGGUAUCAAACAGGAUUAGAUACCCGAGUAGUC